UGGGGGAUAUUGGGCAAUGGGGGAAACCCUGACCCAGCAACGCCGCGUGAAGGAAGAAGGCCUUCGGGUUGUAAACUUCUUUGAUCAGGGAAGAAAAAAAUGACGGUACCUGAAAAACAAGCCACGGCUAACUACGUGCCAGCAGCCGCGGUAAUACGUAGGUGGCAAGCGUUAUCCGGAUUUACUGGGUGUAAAGGGCGUGUAGGCGGUCUCGCAAGUCGGAUGUGAAAUUCCCAGGCUUAACCUGGGCACUGCAACCGAAACUGCGUGACUUGAGUACUGGAGAGGAUAGUGGAAUUCCUAGUGUAGCGGUAAAAUGCGUAGAUAUUAGGAGGAACACCGGUGGCGAAGGCGACUAUCUGGACAGUAACUGACGCUGAGGCGCGAAAGCGUGGGGAGCAAACAG
Molecule: ribosomal RNA, 406 nt
Filed under: uncultured organism
Description: bacterial SSU rRNA
Rfam family: Bacterial small subunit ribosomal RNA
Source: RNAcentral